RNAcentral lists this ribosomal RNA (621 nucleotides) under Mucorales sp. DU13. Its description in RNAcentral is "eukaryotic LSU rRNA". The stretch from base 208 to 361 matches the Rfam family "5.8S ribosomal RNA". The record is from RNAcentral. Lineage: Eukaryota; Fungi; Mucoromycota; Mucoromycetes; Mucorales.
AUAUAAUGAUUCGUAGUGACCUGCGGAGGUCAUUACCAAAAGAUAAUCUUUCACUCGAAAGAUCUUUUCCUUUGUGCUGGCUUUGACCGUAUGUAAUUUUGGGACUUAAACAUGGUAGCCUUACGGUUGCCGGUCCCAAAAACAAUAUAUCAUCCUUAUAAAAACUUACUGAACAACUAAACAAUGAUUUAAUAAUCUGUUUAAAACAACUUUCAACAACGGAUCUCUUGGUUCUCGCAUCGAUGAAGAACGCAGCGAAAUGCGAUACGUAAUGUGAAUUGCAGAAUUCAGUGAAUCAUCGAAUCUUUGAACGCACAUUGCACUCCUUGGUAUUCCGAGGAGUAUGCCUGUUUCAGUAUCAUGAGCACUCUCACACCUAACCUUUGGGCUAAGAUGUGGAAUUGGGAUGCGCCGAUUUUUAUUAGUCGGCACUCCUAAAAUGUAGCUCUUGGCUGUUUCCUACUACAGCAGUUUGGCCUAAUAGUUUUGACUUUUGUCAAAUCUUUGGCUACAUUUGCUUCUGGAAAUCAGUCUUGAUAAUACAGAAAACUCAUUUCAAACUUUGAUCUGAAAUCAGGUAGGGCUACCCGCUGAACUUAAGCAUAUCAAAAGCCGGAGGGA